UACGAAGGGUGCAAGCGUUGUUCGGAUUUAUUGGGCGUAAAGCGCGCGCAGGCGGAUUGGCAAGUCAGAUGUGAAAUCUCGGGGCUCAACCCCGAAACUGCGUCUGAAACUACCGAUCUAGAAUUUCGGAGAGGGAGGGGGAAUUUCGCAUGUAGGGGUAAAAUCCGUAGAUAUGCGAAGGAACACCGGGGGCGAAGGCGCCCUCCUGGCCGAUGAUUGACGCUGAGGCGCGAAAGCGUGGGGAGCAAACAGG
This 253-nucleotide ribosomal RNA is filed under the name uncultured bacterium. RNAcentral describes it as "partial 16S ribosomal RNA". It matches the Rfam family "Bacterial small subunit ribosomal RNA", at positions 524 to 776 of the family's 1533-position model. The record is from RNAcentral.